AUGAUACUCCCUCCGUCUGGAAAUACUUGUCAGAGAAAUGGAUGUACCUAGACAUAUUUUUAUUCUAGAUACAUCAACUUUUAUCCAUUUAUGCGACAAGUAAUUCCGGAGGAAGUGAGUGCAUG
Triticum aestivum (bread wheat) is the source of this 125-nucleotide non-coding RNA. The record is from Rfam. Lineage: Eukaryota; Viridiplantae; Streptophyta; Magnoliopsida; Poales; Poaceae.